Molecule: ribosomal RNA, 301 nt
Filed under: uncultured bacterium
Lineage: Bacteria
Description: partial 16S ribosomal RNA
Rfam family: Bacterial small subunit ribosomal RNA
Source: RNAcentral
CAGUCGCCACGGGAAAACGGAGGGGGCUAGCGUUGUUCGGAAUUACUGGGCGUAAAGCGCACGUAGGUGGCUUGGUAAGUUAGAGGUGAAAGCCUGGAGCUCAACUCCAGAAUUGCCUUUAAGACUGCCGAGCUAGCAGGUGAGAGAGGUAAGUGGAAUUCCGAGUGUAGAGGUGAAAUUCGUAGAUAUUCGGAAGAACACCAGUGGCGAAGGCGGCCAUCUGGGACAACACUGACGCUGAGGCACGAAAGCGUGGGGAGCAAACAGGAUUAGAUACCCCAGUAGUCCCUGUCUCUUAUAA